AGGUAGCGGCAGGCUAACACAUGCAAGUCGAGCGGGAUUAGAUUUUAGCUUGCUAGGAUCUAUGAGAGCGGCGCACGGGUGCGUAACGCGUAUGCAACCUACCCUUUGCUGGGGGAUAGCCCGGAGAAAUUCGGAUUAAUACCCCAUAGUAUCACUGAUUCGCAUGUUUUAGUGAUUAAAGGUUACGGCAAAGGAUGGGCAUGCGUCCCAUUAGCUAGAUGGUGAGGUAACGGCUCACCAUGGCGACGAUGGGUAGGGGGCCUGAGAGGGUGGUCCCCCACACUGGUACUGAGACACGGACCAGACUCCUACGGGAGGCAGCAGUGAGGAAUAUUGGUCAAUGGGCGCAAGCCUGAACCAGCCAUGCCGCGUGCAGGAAGACGGUCCUAUGGAUUGUAAACUGCUUUUAUUUGGGAAUAAACUCCGGUACGUGUACCGGCCUGAAGGUACCAAAUGAAUAAGCACCGGCUAACUCCGUGCCAGCAGCCGUGGUAAUACGGAGGGUGCAAGCGUUAUCCGGAAUCAUUGGGUUUAAAGGGUCCGCAGGCGGUCUUAUAAGUCAGUGGUGAAAGCCUACAGCUCAACUGUAGAACUGCCAUUGAUACUGUAGGACUUGAAUUCGAUCGAAGUGGGCGGAAUGUGACAUGUAGCGGUGAAAUGCUUAGAUAUGUCACAGAACACCGAUAGCGAAGGCAGCUCACUAGGUCUGGAUUGACGCUCAGGGACGAAAGCGUGGGGAGCAAACAGGAUUAGAUACCCUGGUAGUCCACGCCGUAAACUAUCAAUACUCGUUUUCGGGGCUUUCGGGCUUCGGAGACCAAGCGAAAGUGAUAAGUAUUGCACCUGGGGAGUACGAUCGCAAGGUUGAAACUCAAAUGAAUUGACGGAAGGGCGAA
RNAcentral lists this ribosomal RNA (896 nucleotides) under uncultured Fluviicola sp. Its description in RNAcentral is "bacterial SSU rRNA". It matches the Rfam family "Bacterial small subunit ribosomal RNA", at positions 34 to 925 of the family's 1533-position model. Lineage: Bacteria; Pseudomonadati; Bacteroidota; Flavobacteriia; Flavobacteriales; Crocinitomicaceae. The record is from RNAcentral.